AAGUCGUAACAAGGUUUCCGUAGGUGAACCUGCGGAAGGAUCAUUAAAAGAUUUUGUUUUUUGGGGUUUUAAAUUCCAAAAAAUAAUUCACCUUUUGUGCAUUGUUAUUAGAUAUACUUUGGUUAGAGCUUUGAUUUCAUUUUAUUGGAAUCAACUUCUUGCUAACUCUAUCCUAUUUGCAUGGGACUAUUCAGUAGGACUAUUGAAUGGGACAGUUGGCUAUGAAGCGGCCUACCAAGGUUUUUUAUCAAACUCUUGUAUUUUGUCUGACCUAAACUACUAUAAUUAAAUCAUAACUUUCAACAACGGAUCUCUUGGCUCUC
This 323-nucleotide unclassified non-coding RNA is filed under the name fungal sp. RNAcentral describes it as "partial internal transcribed spacer region". The stretch from base 1 to 46 matches the Rfam family "Eukaryotic small subunit ribosomal RNA", at positions 1786 to 1831 of the family's 1831-position model. Lineage: Eukaryota; Fungi. The record is from RNAcentral.